Molecule: long non-coding RNA, 1060 nt
Filed under: Sus scrofa (pig)
Lineage: Eukaryota; Metazoa; Chordata; Mammalia; Artiodactyla; Suidae
Description: lncRNA (ENSSSCG00025032948.1)
Source: RNAcentral
AAUCUACAUUUUAACAAGAUCCCUGCUUGUGUCAGAUGAACAUUAAACUUUAACAAGACUGCUCAAACCUAUUUAUAUACAAGGCAACUGGGGUCCAAGAAUUCGAGGUCACAUGGGUAAACCAGGAGGCUGUGUGUGUAACUGGAUAAGAGCCCAUGCUUCGAGUCCGGUGGACCAGUGUUCAAAUCCAGGCACCCUGCUUUGCUAGCCUAAAAAUCUCAGGCCCCAGAACAAAGCUCUAAGCCUCCAAUUAUUUGUUGUUAAACAAGUAGCAAUACUACUUCACAGGCUAAUUAUGAAGAUAAAAUGAAAAGCCUGUAAAAAGCACCGAGAAAGCUCUCAAUAAACAACUCUUAUGAUCAUUAUUCUGACUGGGAUUUCCUGAUUCUGUGCAGCUUCAUAGGCAUCCUAUGUUGCAUGCAAGAAAUGGGAAAUCAUGCUUUAGAGAAAUUUGCUCUUUUUGAGACUAUUAUAUCUAAUUUAGAUUCUGGGGUUUGAAAGAAUGAGGACAAGGGCGGGGGGGUGGGGGGGGCUCUAAAGCAAAGGGAACAGAAUGUGGUACAGCUGGAGAUUUCUCAGGCUCCUGCUUCUCUGACUCCUCCCGGCUUGGCUUGUCCGUGACGUCUGGGCAGAGCCAGCCAGCCCCUGCGGAAACGCCCAGAAACAAUGAGCAGAGAAGAGAUGCUGUUUCAAAAUGGGAAAAGCCAGUGGGUAUCUAGGGGAAUUCCGGGCAGAGAUAAAUUGGCCCACAUGACAUCUCAGCGAAAACUCAAGGUCAAAUGAGUCCUUUAAUUCAAGCAUCAGUGGGACUGCGAAGGCUAUGUACAUGUCUGCCAACUAAAGGAUGAACACUUAUAUGUUUAUCUGUGACUUCUAAGUAAAGAAUUCUACUUUGUCCAUUCAUCUAUGGAUGGACAAGUAGGUUGCUUCUAUAUCUUGUCUAUCGUAAAUAAUGCUGUCAUGAACAUAUAUCUUUUCUAAUUAGUAUUUUUGUUUCCUUUGGGUAGAUACCCAGAAGAAUUGCUGAGUUGUAUGGUGAUUCUAUUUUUAAUUUGUUGAG